AGAAAGUCUGUUGUUGUAAACAUCCCCGACUGGAAGCUGUAAGACGUGGCUCAGCUUUCAGUCAGAUGUUUGCUGCUACCGGCUGUUCACAGACAUC
Molecule: microRNA precursor, 97 nt
Filed under: Vicugna pacos (alpaca)
Lineage: Eukaryota; Metazoa; Chordata; Mammalia; Artiodactyla; Camelidae
Description: miRNA (ENSVPAG00000016682.1)
Rfam family: mir-30 microRNA precursor family (bases 7-82)
About the family: This family consists of the mammalian microRNA (miRNA) precursor mir-30a. Animal miRNAs are transcribed as ~70nt precursors and subsequently processed by the Dicer enzyme to give a ~22nt product.
Source: RNAcentral